AGACGUAGCUGGCAGGGAAGACACCAUGGUCUCUAAGGGCUUUUCCCAGGGCGAGGCUCAUCCAUUGCCCUGAGGAUCUGCUCAGCCCUGCGAUUGCCCCACAGGGGGAAUACUGAGUGCAAAAUGUGUGUUGGUGGAGGGUUGAGGUCGCGGUUUCCCUGA
This 162-nucleotide small nuclear RNA is filed under the name Dasypus novemcinctus (nine-banded armadillo). Its description in RNAcentral is "U1 spliceosomal RNA (ENSDNOG00000040898.1)". It matches the Rfam family "U1 spliceosomal RNA". Rfam says of the family: U1 is a small nuclear RNA (snRNA) component of the spliceosome (involved in pre-mRNA splicing). Its 5' end forms complementary base pairs with the 5' splice junction, thus defining the 5' donor site of an intron. Lineage: Eukaryota; Metazoa; Chordata; Mammalia; Cingulata; Dasypodidae. The record is from RNAcentral.